CUGGAAGACAUAGUCUGGAAGAAAGAUUUUAACUACAUGUUAUUUUGGGACAUUCUACAUGUGGAAGUUAAUGAGGAGAAGCAAUUUAAUUAUUUUACUGCUGACAGUCUUACAGUGGCUUCAUGUAUAACCUCCUGUUUGACAAAUAAAACAACCUGCUAGAGAAAACUUCAACACAUUGUAUCUUAAUACAGUUCCAUGUUAUAUUAAAAUCCAUUUCGCAGCAGCAUUAUUGCAGCCGAGUAGGAGUGCUAUUCUGGAGAGUUAAUGAGAGGAGUUAGUGGCCUAUCAUUUCACAUCCUAAUUCAUUCCACAUUUAUUUCCCCACAUGGACAAGCCCUUAAUCAAACAGCUUUUUUAAAUUUAUUUGUGGGCAACUGUUAGAUUAUUUCAGCCUGUGAUUAAUGGAAAAUGAGACAAAUAGUAGCUUCUAAACUUGGGCACCAUGAACAUGCCACAGCAAUUAUCUCUUGGCUGAGUCUCGGGAGGACUCCAGAGCCCUGAGUCUUUGAAUGCUGCUCAGCCUUGGCUCCUGGGUGGCUCCUGGGUGCUCCAGACCUCUCACUGCCGACACCAAAGAGCACAGCCAGGACCAGAAGGCAGAGCUGAGCCAGUGCAUCCUGCUGCAAGCUCGCAUCUACCCAGAGGAGACGAUCCUGUUCCUGGAGUCCCAGCUGGGCCACGAGAGGGAGGCCAUGCGCGUGGCAGCCCUGGGUCUGCUCGGUGCUCUGGCACGCUGUGACGAGCCCGCGAUGGCAGAGAAGCUGCCCCAGGUCGUGGAGGCUGUCAAGCGUGUGUGCAGGGACCCCAGCAUCCGGGCCAGAAACGCCCCCCCCCAUGUUGGAGAGGCUCCGUACUGUAGCCAGGAGAGGCUGCCUAGAGAACGGGCAGAGGCUGCACACAUCAACCUUCGAAAUCCUUGCUUUCCAGGGCCCAAGCAGCACACCCAAGCGUGGAGAUGGCAGACAAGGCCCUCUGUGACUGUGGCACCCUGUGGGCAAUAAAACUCUGUAUGUGGUCUCACCGCUCACUGUGUCCUUGGGGAAAUCCAACUCAACGUGGCCUCACCUCUGCAGACAAAGGGUCUUUUUUGUAGGGCCAGGGGGGCAUGUUGGGGCCUGUGGGGAAAAGCCUGGCAGGAUGAACAAAUGGGUUCUGAAGGAGUUGGUGGACCUAAGCGUGAGGCCUCCCAGGGUUAUCCAUCAAAUGUCACCGCGAUCAGGAAAGGCUGCUGGCAAAUGGGAGAAAGCAAACAUCGCCCCUCUAAAUUGGUUUCUCUAAAACUUCCCUUAAAAAGAAACUGCUUGCCACUCCUGUUCCCAAUGUGUACAUUUUGUGAGAAGCACAGAGAACGUAUACUACUAUAACCUAGAUCUUAACUUUUUCCCCCAGGUUUCACUAAAGAGCCCUUUGCACCCUUUGCACAUUCCAGGAACUCAUCUUGGGCAUCUUUGGAAAACUGCUCUCCAAAGCAGUUCUCAACAUGCGCUUCUGGGAUGGUUUUACUCGGGUGGGCAGCUGAGCUCCACCACAACUGCUCUCUCACUCCCCCUCCUCCAAGAGGAACAGGGAGAAAAGAGGAUGCAAAGGGCUUGAGGGUUGAGAUAAGGACGGGGAGAUUGCUCAACAAUGAUCGUGACAGGCAAAACAGAGUCGGGAGACAGUCACAUUUAUUGCCUAUUCCUAACAAUCUAGAGAAGCGAGAAACAAAGGAAAGAAAUCAAAAAUGCCAUCCACCCUCUUCCACCUCCUCCCCCCAAGCAGCGCAGGGGAACAGGGGAAUGGGGGCUGUGGUCAGUCUAUGGCACUUCAUUCACUUCUCCUUCUUGGUCACUCUUGUCCUCUGUGCUGUGGAGUCGCUCCCAUGGGAUGCAAUCCUUCCCAAACUGAAAUGAAAUUCUUGGCAAAGAAAUUCUUGGCAAAGAAACCAAGUCAGAGGAUUAGUAUUUCUCA
This 1953-nucleotide long non-coding RNA is filed under the name Anas platyrhynchos platyrhynchos (common mallard). RNAcentral describes it as "lncRNA (ENSAPLG00000026232.1)". The record is from RNAcentral. Lineage: Eukaryota; Metazoa; Chordata; Aves; Anseriformes; Anatidae.